GGACAAACAAUAUAAACAAAUAAUCAAUUUAUGACAAGCCCUGCUUUUAAAAUUACAGGUUAUAUGUACACUUAACGAGAAACAGAAAAAGCAUUUCUAAAUGAUAUAGGAAAGUAGCAAUAAUCCAUCAUGAUCACAUUUUCACAUUUUUAUGGUUAUAAAAGCACACACUGACAUAUUCAAAUAACAUUUGGUGACAUGUAAUUCUCUCCAUGAAGUGGUCAAACCCAAGAGCCACCAGGACCAUCAUUCUGUCGUCAACCGGGCAUGGCCAUGGGGUGGGAGGGUAUGUGAGUUGUUCGUGUCAGGGAAUCGCAGACACAGAGCUCAAGAAGGACCCAGCUGUGUUGUGUGCUGUUGUAGGACCCUGGAGCUAGCACAGGGGGCUGCGGUCUGGGCCUGAGCUUGGCCACAGUGGAGAGUGACAUCAUAGAAUCAUGGAGCCCUUGAGUUAGAGAGACCAGAGAGCCAGUCCAACCCAGUCCAUCACCUGGAGGCUGGAGAACCACGAGGCUGUUGCCUGUUCGUCCCCCUCUUCUGAGAGGUCCAGGUCACCUGCUCUGGGAGAAGCCAGUUGCCAUGUUGUAAGGACACUCAAGCAGCCCAUGGAAUGACUCACAUGCUGAAGAACUGAGCCCUCCCUCCUUCCAACAGCCAGGGAGGAACUAGGGCUUCUUGCCAAUAACCAUGUGAAGAAGCUUGGAAAUGGAUUCUCCCCCAAAUGAGUCUUCAGAUUACUUUAGACUAACAUCUUGACUGCAACCUCUAGAAAGACCCUGAGCCAGGAUCACCAAGCU
Molecule: long non-coding RNA, 797 nt
Filed under: Homo sapiens (human)
Lineage: Eukaryota; Metazoa; Chordata; Mammalia; Primates; Hominidae
Description: HSALNT0302787
Source: RNAcentral